Xenia sp. Carnegie-2017 is the source of this 89-nucleotide long non-coding RNA. RefSeq lists it as uncharacterized. NCBI's taxonomy places the organism in Eukaryota, Metazoa, Cnidaria, Anthozoa, Malacalcyonacea, Xeniidae. The record is from RefSeq and is a predicted model, not a curated record. The transcript has 3 exons.
UAUCAUCGCAGAGUAAAUGCAAUAUUUGGAAUGUUUGCUGGUAAAGAAAUCUUGUUAUGUACAUUUUACAUUAAAACAGCAGACAUCUU